UGAGGAAUAUUGGUCAAUGGGCGGGAGCCUGAACCAGCCAAGUCGCGUGAGGGAAGACGGCCCUAUGGGUUGUAAACCUCUUUUAUAAGGGAAGAAUAAGUGCCACGUGUGGCACGAUGCCAGUACCUUAUGAAUAAGCAUCGGCUAACUCCGUGCCAGCAGCCGCGGUAAUACGGAGGAUGCGAGCGUUAUCCGGAUUUAUUGGGUUUAAAGGGUGCGUAGGCGGACUGUUAAGUCAGCGGUCAAAUGUCGGUGCUCAACGCCGGCCUGCCGUUGAAACUGGCGGUCUUGAGUGAGCGAGAAGUAAGCGGAAUGCGUGGUGUAGCGGUGAAAUGCAUAGAUAUCACGCAGAACCCCGAUUGCGAAGGCAGCCUGCCGGCGCUCAACUGACGCUGAGGCACGAAAGUGCGGGGAUCGAACAGGAUUAGAUACC
RNAcentral lists this ribosomal RNA (433 nucleotides) under uncultured bacterium. RNAcentral describes it as "bacterial SSU rRNA". It matches the Rfam family "Bacterial small subunit ribosomal RNA", at positions 355 to 786 of the family's 1533-position model. The record is from RNAcentral.